Molecule: non-coding RNA, 206 nt
Filed under: Onchocerca ochengi
Lineage: Eukaryota; Metazoa; Nematoda; Chromadorea; Rhabditida; Onchocercidae
Description: Eukaryotic large subunit ribosomal RNA
Rfam family: Eukaryotic large subunit ribosomal RNA
Source: Rfam by way of RNAcentral
UUUUCUUCAGGAGUGCUGGAAUACGUAAUGAAGCUGUUAUAUUUGGAAAAGCGAUUGAUGGGAGGAAUUGUGGGAUGAAACGUUUUCAACAUCUUUUCAAAUUUUCAAUGAGUGUGACGUCUUGCUUGCUUGAAUGAAACGUAAACAUUGAACGUGUACUUCACGUGAACCAUUUUUGGUAAGCGGAAUUGCCGCUCUAUGGAAUA